UUGAACUCCUGGCCUCAAGGAAUCUGCCUGCCUUGGCCUCCCAAAGUGCUGGGAUUACAGGCCUGACCCACCAUCCCUGACCCAACUAUUGUUUCUUAAAAAAAACUCUUUUUAACCUUGCCUUUUUGUUAGGGUAGAAGGAUAGCUCAGAGCUUCAAAGAGCAGGACUAGCCUAAGAACUGUCUGUGAUAUUUGACCAGAGGUGCAGCCUAGCUGCCAUUCUUCCUCACCCUGUGGAAGACAUUAAAGGGAGAAUGAAAGUAGCUGUAGAAUUACCUUUGGGGGAAGAAGCCACUUGGUGAACUUGGCAAACACCCGUGUUUGAGGGGUCACCCAGGGUGUCAUGAGCUGGGCCGGAGGGGAUGGAUUGAUUACUUGUCUUGUUUGCUUGUUUCUGUUGUAAGUCAGGGCCCCUCAGCAGAAGGCAGAACAGAACCGAGUUCCUUUAGAAUGCUGGUUUUUGUGUGGAGUGAGGAAGGACCGUGAGUGUGGUCAGUUUCCAACCUGACAGGACCUGCUCCCGUUGGCCAGGACUGCAGCUUGUUACUUUGACCCUGGGAAGAAGGUAAGUGUUCCCAAGAAAAGGGACGUCCCAAAGCGGCGCCAUCCCGAUGGCACGUGUGCUGCUCGACUCCCUGCCGGGUAGGUCCAUCCUGACGGCGCAUGUGCCCCUCAGCUCCCCCCACUGGGUAGGUCCAUCCCGACAGCACCUGUGCUGCUCGACUCCCCCCACUGGGUGGGUCCAUCCCGACAGCACCUGUGCCGCUCGACUCCCCCCACUGGGUAGGUCCAUCCCGACAGCACCUGUGCUGCUCGACUACCCGCCGGGUAGGUCCAUCCCGACAGCACCUGUGCCCCUCACCUCCCUGCCAGACGGUGCGUGUGCCGCUUGGCUCCCCACCAGGUAGGUCCAUCCCGACAGCACCUGUGCCGCUCACCUCCCCACCGGGUAGGUCCAUCCCGACAGCACCUGUGCCGCUCACCUCCCUGCCGGGUAGGUCCAUCCCGACGGCGCGUGUGCCGCUUGGCUCAAGGCCCUGACAUCGUUCCACUCAGCACAGCAUCAGGUGCCCGGGACCCGGGACAUCAUCGUUCUGUGUCAGCACAUCAGGUGCCCGGGGCCCGGACAUCAUCGUUCCACUCAGCACAGCAUCAGGUGCCUGGGACCCUGGACAUCAUUGUUCUGCUCAGCACAGCAUCAGGUGCCCGGGACCCUGGACGUCAUUCUGCAUCAGCACAACAUCACCAGUGACGAGAGCCUCCCCAAGUGGUUGACGGGAAGGAUGGUUCGGUCCUCCAGAGGCGGUGGCCUUCUCUUCCUCGAUGACAUUGCCGGGCUGCACCUUGUGAGAGGCCGUCGCUGAGAGUGCAGCCAAAUGGAACCAUCAGGAGGGGUGUCUCGGGGGUGUCGAAAUGGCUGCUGUGUUGACAUCUGAAAGCACAGAGGGACUGGGCUCUGGACACAGCUCCGAGACUCCUCGGUCAAGGGAACAGCUGGAAGAGGCUGGAAUGCAGUGGCGUGAUCUCGGCUCAGUACGAC
This 1540-nucleotide long non-coding RNA is filed under the name Homo sapiens (human). Its description in RNAcentral is "HSALNT0392283". Lineage: Eukaryota; Metazoa; Chordata; Mammalia; Primates; Hominidae. The record is from RNAcentral.